This 1064-nucleotide long non-coding RNA is filed under the name Helianthus annuus (common sunflower). Its description in RNAcentral is "hypothetical non coding rna". Lineage: Eukaryota; Viridiplantae; Streptophyta; Magnoliopsida; Asterales; Asteraceae. The record is from RNAcentral.
AUGAGAUACAAUAACUAAGUUAAUAAACCUAGUUAAAUGCCUAUUAGAUAAGCUAAAUGAUGAAACUUGUGGCAUUUAUGAUAGUAAGUUAAACUUGAGGGACUUAGAGUGCCAAACUUGGAAGUUUAAUUUAUUAAAACAAAAAUCACACACACACCCACACAAGGUGUGCGUGUGAUCGAGCAGGAGAAAAGGGGAAGGGGUGUAAACCCUAACCCACAUGAAAUCAUCAAAUUGGAAAAGGAUUUGAGGGUUAAUUGGAUGCAUGAACCAAGAUUUAUGAUCACUCAAGCGUUCUUGACACCAAGAUAGGAAUCCCAAAUUGACAUGGACUCAAGUAUGGAAAGCUAACGGGUCAAGCGGAGGUGAGGAAGCAAGCAUGAACACUAACGCUUGAGGUAAGUGAUUCCGUAAUCACUUCUUAGUUGUUUAUGUAAUGUUAUAUGCAAUUUAAUUAUAUGUGAUAAUUGAGGUCGAAUAGGAAUGAAUUGUAUGAUGUCAAUGAAGUAUUAAACGGAUUUUAGUUUUGAUCCGAGCAAGGUAGGUGUGAUUAAGAAAUUGUAGCUAAGUAGUGGAAUUGGUUACUUACGUAAGGAAUUCCUUUGUUAUUAAGGAUAGAGCAUAGUUGACUAAAAUGCCCUUGAUAGGUAUAUCGGGCAAACGAAAGUCGUUUGGAAACGAGCUAUUCGAUUAGAGUAAUGUCUUGGACAAGUAUGAAAGCGAAGUAUAGGGUUUGGUAUGUCAUAGUCCACUUAAUGCGCAAAUACCCAUAACGGGUCAAAUAUAAGCCUUUGAGCGAAAAUGGGUUAAGAGGAUGCAAGACGUCCGAGAAUUUAAUCUUUUAUGAUAGGUGCCAAUGAAAUUAUUAAAGUUCAUAUGAGAUUGAGGUCAAAUAAACAGAUUAUGUUGAUAAAUGCACGAACGGGUCAAAUAGUUAGAAAAUGAUAAUAUGUCGAAUGCACGUAAGUUAAGAAUUUCCUUAAUCCGGAGGUAGGAUUUUAAGUUAAUAUGAUAGAAUGUGAAUUUACAAGCAUGUAGGAAGAAACGGGAGGUUAAACGGGUAA